CGUGGGGAGGGGACGGGGGGGGGCGAGUUGGCAUGUUCGGUUGCUGUUGUGUAGCCGCCGCCAGUGGCUUCCCAACAGGAAUGCGGCGAGGUUAGUGCAUGCGUGGGGCUUCUGGCUGUGUGGUUGGAGCGGGGAUCCGAGGCGCUGGUGGAAUAAAAGCCAGGAGCGACGGGAGAGAGAUGCUGAUGGGCUGCCGGCUAAUCAAAGGAUACUAAAGCCGAGUGCAGUUCCUGUGUAGAAACUGAGGACAGAAAAAAUGAGCAAAGAGAAGAUGUGGUAGCCUGUUCAUGAAGUGAGCACAUGAAGGAUGUAAUACAAAGCUAGCUUGAUGGAUUUGGUGGUAAGUAGGUGAAUUUUUGUGGGGUGCUGCUUUUGAAAAUUGAGUUCAUUUUAUUUUUAUAACAGUCAUGAUUGAAACUCUUCAGAAAAGGAAUUCUAUUAAUAUUUUCAAAACACAAGUGACUAUGUUACUAAUCUAAAAAGUACACCACAAACG
Molecule: long non-coding RNA, 496 nt
Filed under: Calidris pugnax (ruff)
Lineage: Eukaryota; Metazoa; Chordata; Aves; Charadriiformes; Scolopacidae
Description: lncRNA (ENSCPUG00000016900.1)
Source: RNAcentral